UGAAUGUGGCGGCACGUGCCUGUAAUCCCAGCUACUUGGGAGGCUGAGGCAGGAGAAUCACUUGAACCUGGGAGGCGGAGGCUGCAGUGAGCCAAGAUCGCGCCACUGCACUCCAGCCUGGGCUACAGCGUGAGACUCUGUGUCUCAAACAAACAAACAAACAAAGUUUGAAACCACUGUGUUCAUCUCACACCUUGCAGAGAGAUAUAUGCCCAGGAUGGGGCUGAAUAAAAAGCUAAUAAUAAUAGCCACCACCUGUGGAGAGCUUCUCUUGGACCACGCAUUCUGCUAAGUCCUUCUCUUGUAUGAGGACCAGUUGUGCCCAGAGAACCUUCUCUGUCUCCUCUAACCAUGGGAUAAAAGGAGAUUUCCACAAGAGCGGCUCAGGGACGCAGCCCAUCUCUUAAGAAGGAGGCUCUGAGAGGGACAAGACCAUGGAUGCAGCACAUGGCCACAAGGCAGUUUCAAGAUGCCCAUGUCAGGCAGAGGAUGGCUCAGUGGUCUCUAACCCACCUAACAUUUCAUGAACUUUACUCCUGGUCCCGCUCCCAAAUUAGACACUGGAGAUAAUGGAUCACUAUACUGCACUGAAGACUCGGAGGGGUUGAGCCGCUGGAGCCACGCAAAUUCAGACACCUCUUCCGCCCCAGGUCACUCUACUCGCCCACGCUGCCUGCCACACCCAUCCGGUUGUGCGGGACACUCCCCGCGUUUCUUCAGCGAUUCUUAUCGGGCUCCCUCCUUGUUCAAUAAAGGUGUCAUUUCUGAGCAGGGAAGGUGUGAUCUGGGGCCAGAAUGAAUGGCCCUGGUGACUUCUUACCUGAUUCAUCCCACACCAGUCAGAAGGGGCUGUGAAGGCAGCAGCGAAGGAGCCACACAUGGACGUGGAAUGGGCACGCUGACCAUCAUGGUCACGACUGCAAGAAAGCAGGGCUGCGUGGGUUAAUUGGCUGUGUCUGAGGGUCACCCCUGCACAAGGAGGAUGAUGACGACUGCCCUGUGCAACCCUGGGUCAUCUCAGGGGAGAGCCAUUCCCAGGUUCACAGCAAGCACUCUUUUACUCAGAUGGGCCACCUGCAUCAGGCCCCAAGGAAGCACUUAUUAGUAGAAGAAAAAAAACAAAAACCCAGAAAACAGCCAGUGAGACUAUUUUACAAACAAGCGAAGAGCAGCAACUGAAAGCAACAAUAACUACAACAUAAAUCCCUCUGCAAAUAUUUGGGAUUUCAUUUCCACUAAGGAUAAUGAUGGCGUAGAAGGCAUGUCUGUGGGAGUUAUGCACACAGGGAAAAAGGUGGUGAAAAUAAUCAACCAAAAAUAACAAAAUUCAAUUAAUCAAAACAGAACAAAAUAAAAUGAGCCAAACAGCAUAUCUGAAUAUAAGCAUAAUAAUUGUCGUUGGACAAACCUUUGUCAAAUCAAAUUGGCUUCUAGCACACGGGCUGAUACUUUGUGAUUCAAGUGGUGUUCUACCCACAUAAUUCAUUUAGUUGCAAAGAAUGUAACAAAUAAUGCAAUUAUUCCAGAGGAUCACGGUGAGACAUCUAUUUGGUGGUGCCUUAAGCAGAGUGCCCUGAUUCAGAAGAAUUAGACCAAUCUCUGGAUUCACAGCCACUCAUGAAAACUGUAGGCCGGGCACGGUGGCUCAUGCCUGUAAUCCCAGCACUUUGGGAGGCCAAGGCGGGUGGAUCACGAGGUCAGGUGAUCGAGACCAUCCUGGCUAACAUGGUGAAACCCCGUCUCUACCAAAAAUACAAAAAGAAAUUAGCUGGGAGUGGUGGCGGGCACCUGUAGUCCCAGCUACUCGGGAGGCUGAGGCAGGAGAAUCGCUUGAACCCAGGAGGUGGAGGUUGCCGUGAGCCGAGAUCACGCUACUGCACUCCAAUCUGGGUGACCGAGCAAUACUCCGUCUAAAAAAAAAAAGUAAUAAUAAUAAUAAAAUAGGAAACUGCAGUAACUCGGGACAUCUGGGUUCCUUGUCUUUUGUCAAAAUCACAGGGAAUUCAACUCACUGAAUCUAUUGGUCAAUUCAAUUCCGCCAUUGGUCAGUAUGACUCGGCUUUUGACAGAGAGUUUUACCCAAAGACUUGCAGAACUUCCUUCCUGCAAGAUUUCAGAAGCACAGCAAGCAUUGCAAGAGGAAACUACCUUAUAAAUCAUACAAACCCAGCAUCGUGUUCUUUGCUUGUCCUUGCCUGAAUUUACUGGAAAAUCAUGUUGUGAAACCUAAAUGCAAAUGAACCUUUCUUAUUGCAAAUUAAAAACUAAAUCCAUUUUCAACUGAAUUCAAUGGGAAAAACAAGAAUUAUUUUCCUAAAAAGUAAAUAUCCACCACUCCGUAAUAAUUGUGAUCCGCUGUGGCUUAUGUGUCGUGUCUCAGGACAUGGACUCGGUCCUCUGCAUACCUUACCUCUCAUCCUGCAAUAAUCCUGAACAGGUUCCCAUUAUCCCCAUUUUAGAGGAUUACAGCACAAUUUGUAGCUGGAGUGCUUCUGAAUUGCGAGAAAGCCCU
This 2512-nucleotide long non-coding RNA is filed under the name Homo sapiens (human). RNAcentral's name for it is "HSALNT0157797". Lineage: Eukaryota; Metazoa; Chordata; Mammalia; Primates; Hominidae. The record is from RNAcentral.